AGCUCUGCCCUCAAGUUAAGCGGACACUUCAGAUGACGUCUGAUGAGUUGACACUUGCAGGGCAUGGGAAGAACGAAUUUGUUUUAAAUGGACCGCCCUUGCCUGGAAAUGUGUCACUUGUUCGUCCCACGGUUGUGUUUUCAGUCAUCAUAGAACCACCGGUAGCUGUUGUGUGUGCUUUAUACACUACAGUAAAUUAUGAUUGCAUUUCCUAUCUUGGCUAAAAGACAACGCAUCUGCAGACAUCGAAUGCUAGCCAUCCGACAAAAUCUGGGCACUGAGGCACUGUUCCAGAUGGUCUUCAGGCGCUAUGGCCUUCUGGAGGAAAUCGUCUCCCACCGUGGCCCCCAAUUCACGUCAUGGUUAUGGAGAGGCUUCAUGGAGAAGCUGGGUGUCACGGUCAGCCUCACAACCGGGUACCGCCCUCAGUCCAACAGGCAGGUGGAAAGGAUGAACCAGGAGCUGGGGAGGUUCCUUAGGAGUCACUGCCAGGAUCUUCAUGUUUCUUAUUAUUAAACUCACCUUCUGCACCGGCUUGAAUUAUUUAGGCUAAAUUAUUAUUAUUUCAAUGCUAUAGCCUACCAUUUAAGAAAUCAAUUAUGAAGAGUUUGUGACACACUACAGGCUGUAACGAGCGCUCAGCAUUUCAACAACACAUCAACAACAGCACUUCAACAACAUGCCUAUACAUUUUGCAUUUAGUCUGUUUAAAAUGAAAAUGUAUUUAUUUGUAUUUUUUAUUAAAUAAUAUUGACAUUAAAAAUGCCUUAUUUGGCUAUACAGUAAUUCUACAGUGUCUUUGAAUUCACAUUUAGAAACACAAGUUUGGCCAGUCUUUGGUUUGAGGAUCAUGCAGUGAGCUGUACAUGCCUACACUGUAGUUUGAUCAUUAAGCCCAGCAGAUGCUUUUAUAUUCCCAUGCCCUAAUCACAGUCAACACAAAUCUAUGUUCUAACAAAAAUAUAAUGGAAUAAAACCGAAUAAAUUAGAAAAUUAUAGUUUCCCAAAAGAAAAAAGUUACAACUGCAUAUAGGCCUACCUGAUGAUAUGCGGCUGCAGUGUUAACCUUUUUCUU
Molecule: long non-coding RNA, 1075 nt
Filed under: Salmo salar (Atlantic salmon)
Lineage: Eukaryota; Metazoa; Chordata; Actinopteri; Salmoniformes; Salmonidae
Description: lncRNA (ENSSSAG00000088543.1, ENSSSAG00000119044.1, ENSSSAG00020054492.1, ENSSSAG00075047390.1)
Source: RNAcentral